This is a long non-coding RNA of Notechis scutatus (mainland tiger snake), 842 nucleotides long. The record is from Ensembl. NCBI's taxonomy places the organism in Eukaryota, Metazoa, Chordata, Lepidosauria, Squamata, Elapidae.
AAUAAAUAUUUCUCUCUUUAUUUCUCAACGGCGGCUGAGAGAAAAGCAUUAUAUAAUGAAAUAAAGAGGCUUAAGAAAGCUGAAGAGCAAGCAAGAUUGUAUGUAGAGAGGUACGUGCACAAGGAUGUGUUGUAUGUAUAAGACAAUAAUUCCAUAUUUAGAAAACUUAUAAAUGUUCCUCUUUUCUUUUUUCAGGCUUCAGAAGGAAUUAAGAGACUUGAAUCAAUCUUGGGAAUUAAAGUUUGAUAUUCUAAAGAGAAGCCUGCAUGCUAUUAAGAAUGAGAUGUAUCUUAGACAAUCACUGCAGCAAUCGGUGAAAUUAAGACGCCCAUUACUAAAUGAAAGGAAAGCUUUGCCUAUACACAUCCAGAAUCGAACUCAUAAUCCUCCACAUAAACGCCGUUGGAUCUCUAGUAGUUUGUAUAUGCAGUAUUCUCCUCUGCCGGAGAUAACUGCUGAGAUAGACAUUGAGCCAAGUGAUGAAGAUCAAAAUGAUGCUAACAAUCCAGUUACAACUGCAAUACCCAAUGCUUUAACACAAGAUGAGGAAAGGCUUGAACAAUCAAGGUUACCAUCCUCACCUCUUGUGUCCCCUGAACACUGAUGUAGGUUGGAAUCCUCUACCAUAUCUGGAACAAUUGUCUGUACCAAAAAGGUUGAAUGCUUUCAGUUUUUCUAAAGCUUAGAAGGAACCAAAAACAGAUUGACCAAAUGAGAAACCAUUGCUCCUGAGAGCAGUGCUUGAGUAUUUUCUGCCCAAAUGUCACAUUGAUAGAAGUAAGUCAAGAUAUUUCUGGAGCACUGCUUCUAACUGUUAAGAGCACUGGAGUGCUUUUCCCGCU